This 450-nucleotide ribosomal RNA is filed under the name uncultured bacterium. Its description in RNAcentral is "partial 16S ribosomal RNA". It matches the Rfam family "Bacterial small subunit ribosomal RNA", at positions 338 to 795 of the family's 1533-position model. The record is from RNAcentral.
CCUACGGGCGGCUGCAGUGAGGAAUAUUGGGCAAUGCCCGCAAGGGUGACCCAGCAACGCCGCGUGGAGGAUGAAGGCCGUAAGGUUGUAAACUCCUGUUAGAGGAGAAGAAUAGUACCGAUUGGAUCGGUAUUUGACUGUACCCUCAGAGAAAGCCCCGGCUAACUACGUGCCAGCAGCCGCGGUAAUACGUAGGGGGCCAGCGUUAUCCGGUGUUACUGGGGGUAAGGGGCGCGCAGGCGGGAGAGCAGAAAGCCUACAGCGUAACUGUAGAACUGCAUUUGAUACGGUUAUUCUUGAGUUCGGGAGAGAGAGACGGAAUUCCAGGUGUAGUGGUGAAAUACGUAGAUAUCUGGAAGAACACCAGUUGCGAAGGCGGUCUCUUGGUCCGAUACUGACGCUGAGGCGCGAAAGCGUGGGGAGCAAACAGGAUUAGAUACCCUGGUAGUC